UACGGGGGGGGCAAGCGUUGUUCGGAAUUACUGGGCGUAAAGGGCUCGUAGGUGGCCAACUAAGUCGGACGUGAAAUCCCUCAGCUUAACUGGGGAACUGCGUCCGAUACUGGAUGGCUCGAGUUUGGGAGAGGGAUGCGGAAUUCCAGGUGUAGCGGUGAAAUGCGUAGAUAUCGGGAGGAACACCUGUGGCGAAGGCGGCCCCCUGGUUGGAUACUGACGCUGAUACGCGAAAGCGUGGGGAGCAAACAGG
RNAcentral lists this ribosomal RNA (253 nucleotides) under uncultured bacterium. Its description in RNAcentral is "partial 16S ribosomal RNA". It matches the Rfam family "Bacterial small subunit ribosomal RNA", at positions 524 to 776 of the family's 1533-position model. The record is from RNAcentral.